GAUGAAGAACGCAGCGAAAUGCGAUAAGUAAUGCGAAUUGCAGAAUUCCAGUGAGUCAUCGAAUCUUUGAACGCACAUUGCGCCCCUUGGUAUUCCGAGGGGCAUGCCUGUUCGAGCGUCAUUAUAACCCCUCAAGCUCAGCUUGGUGUUGGGGCCUGCUGCACUGGCAGCCCUUAAAAUCAGUGGCGGCGCCAUCUGGCUCUAAGCGUAGUAAUUCUUCUCGCUAUGGAGUCCUGGUGGAUGCUUGCCAUCAACCCCCAAUUUUUCUAUGGUUGACCUCGGAUCAGGUAGGGAUACCCGCUGAACUUAAGCAUAUCAAUAAGCGGAGGA
This 330-nucleotide unclassified non-coding RNA is filed under the name soil metagenome. RNAcentral describes it as "partial contains 5.8S ribosomal RNA, internal transcribed spacer 2, and large subunit ribosomal RNA". The stretch from base 1 to 121 matches the Rfam family "5.8S ribosomal RNA", at positions 35 to 154 of the family's 154-position model. The record is from RNAcentral.